Molecule: non-coding RNA, 72 nt
Submitted as: unclassified sequences
Source: Rfam
UAUUAUAGAAGAUAGAAAUAGUAGCUAUCGCCAUAAUUUAGGAAAUGUAGGGGUACUGUCCUACCUAUAAUA